ACGAUGCAUAGCCGGCCUGAGAGGGCGGACGGCCACAUUGGGACUGAGACACGGCCCAAACUCCUACGGGAGGCAGCAGUAGGGAAUUUUCGUCAAUGGGGGGAACCCUGAACGAGCAAUGCCGCGUGAGUGAGGAAGGUCUUCGGAUCGUAAAGCUCUGUUGUAAGAGAAAAACGACAUUCAUAGGGAAUGAUGAGUGAGUGAUGGUAUCUUACCAGAAAGUCACGGCUAACUACGUGCCAGCAGCCGGUAAUACGUAGGUGGCGAGCGUUAUCCGGAAUGAUUGGGCGUAAAGGGUGCGUAGGUGGCAGAUCAAGUCUGGAGUAAAAGGUAUGGGCUCAACCCGUACUGGCUCUGGAAACUGAUCAGCUAGAGAACAGAAGAGGACGGCGGAACUCCAUGUGUAGCGGUAAAAUGCGUAGAUAUAUGGAAGAACACCGGUGGCGAAGGCGGCCGUCUGGUCUGGAUUCUGACACUGAAGCACGAAAGCGUGGGGAGCAAAUAGGAUUAGAUACCCUAGUAGUCCACGCCGUAAACGAUGAGAACUAGGUGUUGGGGGAAUAACUCAGUGCCGCAGUUAACGCAGUAAGUUCUCCGCCUGGGGAGUAUGCACGCAAGUGUGAAACUCAAAGGAAUUGACGGGUGCCCGCACAAGCGGUGGAGUAUGUGGUUUAAUUCGAAGCAACGCGAAGAACCUUACCAGGCCUUGACAUCCCUUGCAGAGGUAUAGAGAUAUAUCCGAGGUUACCAAGGAGACAGGUGGUGCAUGGUUGUCGUCAGCUCGUGUCGUGAGAUGUUGGGUUAAGUCCCGCAACGAGCGCAACCCUUGUGAUAUGUUACUAACAUUGAGUUGAGGACUCAUAUCAGACUGCCGGUGAUAAACCGGAGGAAGGUGGGGAUGACGUCAAAUCAUCAUGCCCCUUAUGGCCUGGGCUACACACGUACUACAAUGGCGUCUACAAAGAGCGGCAAGCCUGUGAAGGCAAGCGAAUCUCAUAAAGGGCGUCUCAGUUCGGAUUGAAGUCUGCAACCCGACUUCAUGAAGCUGGAAUCGCUAGUAAUCGCGAAUCAGCAUGUCGCGGUGAAUACGUUCUCGGGCCUUGUACACACCGCCCGUCAAACCAUGGGAGUUGGUAAUGCCCGAAGCCGGUGGCAUAACCCUUCGGGGAGUGAGCCGUCGAAGGCAGGACCGAUGACUGGGGUUAAGUCGUAACAAGGUA
RNAcentral lists this ribosomal RNA (1220 nucleotides) under metagenome. RNAcentral's name for it is "bacterial SSU rRNA". It matches the Rfam family "Bacterial small subunit ribosomal RNA", at positions 276 to 1498 of the family's 1533-position model. The record is from RNAcentral.